This 433-nucleotide ribosomal RNA is filed under the name uncultured bacterium. RNAcentral describes it as "partial 16S ribosomal RNA". It matches the Rfam family "Bacterial small subunit ribosomal RNA", at positions 29 to 507 of the family's 1533-position model. The record is from RNAcentral.
AACGAACGCUGGCGGCAUGCCUAACACAUGCAAGUCGAACGAGACCUCCGGGACUAGUGGCGCACGGGUUUGUAACGCGUGGGAACAUGCCCUCAGGGACGGCAUAACUCAGAGACAUUUGAGCUAAUACCGGACGAUGUCUUCUGACCAAAGAUUUAUUGCCCUUCUUUGGGCCCGCGUUGGAUUAGCUAGUUCGUUGGGUAAAGGCUUACCAAGGCGACGAUCCAUAGCUGGUUUGAGAGGAUGGUCAGCCACACUGGGACUGAGACGCGGCCCGGACUCCUACGCGAAGGGGGAGUGGGGGAUGUAGGACAGUGGGCGGAAGCCUGAUGCAGCACGGACGGGUGAAUUAUGUAGGUAUUAAGGAUGUAAAGCGCAUUUACCCGAGAUGAUAAUGACGGUAUCGGGAGAAAAAGCUCCGGCUAACUCCGUG